UCGGACGUGGUGUACGGCGCACACCCGCUUUUCGUGUUUGUGUGGUUGCAUCGAAAAAAAUGAAAGCGGGAGGCCUGAGCUCGAUUCCUAGCGUCCGAA
Mycena galericulata is the source of this 99-nucleotide non-coding RNA. The record is from the annotation of a GenBank genome assembly. NCBI's taxonomy places the organism in Eukaryota, Fungi, Basidiomycota, Agaricomycetes, Agaricales, Mycenaceae.